Molecule: ribosomal RNA, 460 nt
Filed under: uncultured bacterium
Lineage: Bacteria
Description: partial 16S ribosomal RNA
Rfam family: Bacterial small subunit ribosomal RNA
Source: RNAcentral
CCUACGGGAGGCAGCAGUGAGGAAUAUUGGUCAAUGGACGAGAGUCUGAACCAGCCAAGUAGCGUGAAGGAUGACUGCUCUAUGGGUUGUAAACUUCUUUUAUAUGGGAAUAAAAUGUUCCACGUGUGGGAUUUUGUAUGUACCAUAUGACUAAGGAUCGGCUAACUCCGUGCCAGCAGCCGCGGUAAUACGGAGGAUCCGAGCGUUAUCCGGAUUUAUUGGGUUUAAAGGGAGCGUAGGUGGAUUGUUAAGUCAGUUGUGAAAGUUUGCGGCUCAACCGUAAAAUUGCAGUUGAAACUGGCAGUCUUGAGUACAGUAGAGGUAGGCGGAAUUCGUGGUGUAGCGGUGAAAUGCUUAGAUAUCACGAAGAACUCCGAUUGCGAAGGCAGCUCACUGGACUGCAACUGACACUGAGGCUCGAAAGUGUGGGGAUCAAACAGGAUUAGAUACCCCAGUAGUC